This 1244-nucleotide ribosomal RNA is filed under the name metagenome. RNAcentral describes it as "bacterial LSU rRNA". It matches the Rfam family "Bacterial large subunit ribosomal RNA", at positions 1564 to 2816 of the family's 2925-position model. The record is from RNAcentral.
UGAAUACGAGAUGCUACGGCGUCGAAGCAGUGUAUGUCAGACUUCCAAGAAAAGCUCGCAAUGUCAUAAAUAAAGAAUGCCUGUACCAUAACCGACACAGGUGGGUAGGUAGAGUAUACUAAGGGGCGCGAGAUAACUCUCUCUAAGGAACUCGGCAAAAUAACUCCGUAACUUUGGGAGAAGGAGUGCCUUCUUUAAGAAGGUUGCAAUAACAAGAUCCAAGCAACUGUUUACCAAAAACACAGGUCUCCGCUAAGUCGUAAGUCGAUGUAUGGGGGCUGACGCCUGCCCAGUGCCAGAAGGUUAAAGAAGCUGGUUAGCAAUAGCGAAGCUGGUGACUGAAGCCCUGGUGAACGGCGGCCGUAACAAUAACGGUCCUAAGGUAGCGAAAUUCCUUGUCGGGUAAGUUCCGACCCGCACGAAAGGCGUAAUGAUUUGGAUACUGUCUCGGAGAGGGACUCGGUGAAAUAGACUUGUCUGUGAAGAUGCGGACUACCUGCACCAGGACAGAAAGACCCUAUGAAGCUUUACUGUAACCUGAAAUUGAAAUUGGACUUUAUUUGCGCAGUAUAGGUGGGAGGCGUUGAAAGUAAUCUUGCGGGAUUAGUGGAGCCAUCAGUGAGAUACCACUCCUAUAAUGUUAGAUUUCUAACUUUGGAUCAUGAUCUGGUCAAAGAACAGUUUCAGGCGGGCAGUUUGACUGGGGCGGUCGCCUCCCAAAUGGUAACGGAGGCGUACAAAGGUUUCCUCUGAACGGGUAGAAAUCGUAUCUAGAGUGUAAAGGCAUAAGGAAGCUUGACUGUGAGACCUACAAGUCGAGCAGGGACGAAAGUCGGUCUUAGUGAUCUGGCGGUGCUGAGUGGAAAGGCCGUCACUCAACGGAUAAAAGUUACUCUAAGGAUAACAGGCUGAUCUCCCCCAAGAGUUCACAUCGACGGGGAGGUUUGGCACCUCGAUGUCGGCUCAUCGCAUCCUGGGGCGGUAGUACGUCCCAAGGGUUGGGCUGUUCGCCCAUGAAAGCGGUACGCGAGCUGGGUUCAGAACGUCGUGAGACAGUUCGGUCCAUAUCCGGUGUAGGCGUUAGAAUAUUGAGAGGAGCCUUCUCUAGUACGAGAGGACCGAGAAGGACAUACCUCUGGUGUACCAGUUAUCGUGCCAACGGUAAACGCUGGGUAGCUAUGUAUGGAGAGGAUAACCGCUGAAAGCAUCUAAGUGGGAAGCCCACCUCAAGAUGAGUAUUCUCA